GUCCCGUGCGGGCACUCAUUCUCGUAGUACGAUGGCGCAUCGGCAACGUGGGGUAAGUCCCCGCGCGAUAGCUGGUGCGCCGAACACAGGUCCCGAAAGGGGCCUUUUUUAUUGCCUUUUU
This is a small RNA of Devosia soli, 121 nucleotides long. It matches the Rfam family "Rhizobiales sRNA Atu_C8". NCBI's taxonomy places the organism in Bacteria, Pseudomonadati, Pseudomonadota, Alphaproteobacteria, Hyphomicrobiales, Devosiaceae. The record is from Rfam.